RNAcentral lists this ribosomal RNA (464 nucleotides) under uncultured bacterium. RNAcentral's name for it is "bacterial SSU rRNA". It matches the Rfam family "Bacterial small subunit ribosomal RNA", at positions 30 to 504 of the family's 1533-position model. The record is from RNAcentral.
UGAACGCUGGCGGCGUGCUUAAUACAUGCAAGUCGAACGGAGCCCCAUUUCUUCGGAAGUGGGUGUCUUAGUGGCGAACGGGUGAGUAACGCGUUGGUAACCUGCCCCGAAGUGGGGGAUAACAGUUCGAAAGGACUGCUAAUACCCCAUGUGAUCUUCAAGAUUAGAUACUUGAUGAUAAAAGGAGUAAUCCGCUUUGGGAGGGGCCUGCGUCCCAUCAGCUAGUUGGUAGGGUAAAAGCCUACCAAGGCUAUAACGGGUAGGGGACCUGAGAGGGUGUCCCCCCACACUGGCACUGAAACACGGGCCAGACACCUACGGGUGGCAGCAGUAGGGAAUAUUGGACAAUGGGCGAAAGCCUGAUCCAGCAACGCCGCGUGCGCGAUGACGGCCUUCGGGUUGUAAAGCGCUUUUUGGGGAGAUGAGAAAGGACAGUAUCCCCAGAAUAAGCCUCGGCUAACUAC